GACUAAGGAUGGGGAGACGGUUCCCCGAAGGAUGACUCCCAGGGGAUUAAUAGGGAACACGGUGCGGACGACCCAACAGGGACCCAUUCCGUGGCUGCCCCCGCAACUGUAGGCGGAUUGCCGCCUGUCCUUAGGACGCGUCUUCGCGUCAUGCCACUGCGGUUCUCCCGCGGGAAGGCAGACAGGCAGCAGAUAUCCGUGAGCCAGGAGACCUGCCGUCGUCGAGCCAAUUUCC
This 235-nucleotide non-coding RNA is filed under the name Shinella sp. WSC3-e. Lineage: Bacteria; Pseudomonadati; Pseudomonadota; Alphaproteobacteria; Hyphomicrobiales; Rhizobiaceae. The record is from RNAcentral.